Molecule: long non-coding RNA, 5268 nt
Filed under: Homo sapiens (human)
Lineage: Eukaryota; Metazoa; Chordata; Mammalia; Primates; Hominidae
Description: HSALNT0401860
Source: RNAcentral
UAAAAUAAUGAAGUGUUAAUAUUCAAAGUCAACUCGUGACUAUUCAAAGCUCAAAAUCUUAUUUUUGUGAGAAGUGUUGGUGCACAGCUUGGAAACAACACACACUUUGGGAACAGAGAUCUGGGUUUGAAUCCCACCUCUACUGUAUACUAGAUAUUUGACCUGAUGGAUGACACACUACUUUUCUAAACAUCAAUGUCCUCAACUGUGAAAUGGAUUUAGAACACUUUUCUCACAGAGUUGUAUUUACUAAGCUAAUGUCUAUAUAGCUUUCCCUCUACACAUGCUACAUAGGAAACAUUUUGAACUAAUAGCCAUUUUUAUUGGGAUUCAUACUAUUUCCAUGAAUCAGUUCAUAUCAUGCAUUCUCUCAUAAGCCUUUCUUGACUACCUUUAGCUCAACUCCCACAAACUUAUCUUAUCCAGGGAAGAAGCAACAGCUGAGGAAACAGGAUCUCAAAAUACAGAAAAGGUCUCAAAAUAUUAGUAUCUGGAAAAUUAGUCAAAAUCUCUGGGGGAGGCCUUGGAAGUCCAUUGGAAUCAGAAGUUUUAAAACAAUUUAUGGGGCAAGAAAGGAUUUCUCUCACAUUUGCGUUAAAAUUAUUUCUUUAAAAAGCACUUUGAUGUAAACAUUUGCAAAAUGGUUUUUGAAAAACCUGCUGCUUUUCAGAAAUCCAGCUACUGAGUCAAUCAAGUGAAAGUGCAGAUACUAAAUUUACUGACUUGUUAUUAGGCACAUCUGAGUUCGUGUCCCAGUUCUUCCGCUUAUGAGCUGGAAGCUUGGAUAAUUUGCUUGACAGCUUCAUCAUUCAGUUUCCUCAUCUGUAAAACUUGACUUUAAGAGAAAGAACUAUCUCUAAUGGGGAAAAAAUAUAUAUUUUAAGGACCAGCCGUCAAAGGUGGGCCUCAGGAGGCUUUGCAGAUAGGCCAUGACCAAAGUCAAAAAGGAGGCAAUCUAUGCUCCACCCAAGAGAGAAAAGGGAAUUGGAGGCUGCCAGGAUGAUGGAGAAGGGAAGGAAUGGAGAACCCCUUUGUAUUUAUGUUUUUAUAAGGCCCUCACAGACUGGGUCUUGAUCAGCCUCAGUUAAGUUGUUUCCCUCGCCAAGGCUGAUAUCAUUUUUCCUGACUAGACCUUCACCCAACAGCAGCAGGUGACUGAUAGCAAAGUUAGUUUACUAAGUUGGUUAGUAAUUGCAAAAUACAUGUGCUACUUCUUGAUUCAGGUGGCCUCACUGGAUUAUUCUUCAAUCAUGAUUCCACCUUGAUGUCAGCGAAGGACCUGGGAAACAUACACAUCUACAGAACAUAUUUCAGGUCCUCACCCGUUUCACCUCUUGGCUCGAAUGGCUCCUUCUCUGAGAGGCCUUCACCAACCACAAAAUAGAGGCCUCCACCUCACACCACUUCCUAGUCCUUUAGUCUGUUUUAUCUUUAUUCACAGCACUUAGCAUUUCCUGAUAGUUUAUAAUAUAUUUAUUUGUUUAUCCGUAUGACCCUUUGCAAUGUACGUUUCAUAGGAACAGGGACUUUGUUUAGUUUUCAGUGUACCCAGUGGUGUGCUGGUACAUUUAGCAACCAACUCUCUAGAAAAGAGAGAAAAAAAGCCAUGACUGGUUUCCAUGGUGUAAAGACUCCAACUAUGCCCAAUUUCAAGCCACGAAUAUGAUGUCACAAAAUGCAGGCUUGGAAAGAGAUGCAGAAAUUCACCCUUGCAAGAUGGUGCAAGCCAGCUCUAGAAAACUUCCGGCUUCUAGGACAGUGCCUUCCUUACGGUAGGUACUGAGAAAUUGAGCAAUUCACAAUAGAAUGGAUAUGGCAGCAGCUUCAAAAUUUACAAAAUAGUUGAUUAUGAUCACAUGCUACACCCUCGACUUGCUGAUGGGGCAGCGUGGAUUCAACCAGGAAUGUCCUCCUUCCUGAAUGGAUGAUGAUGGGGCAAACACAGCGUUCCAGUCACUAGACAUGUACCUCCUAUGCAGGUGGGCACACAAGACAGCUGACUAAGGGAAGAAAUGCAUGAGAAAUUUGCAAAGAGGGAAAGCCAAGAGCACCUGUAGUGUUCUGGAGGUAGCUGCACACUGACAUCCCUUCACACCCAGUGGCCUCUUGUGAAAGAGAAGGCAAUGCAAUGCCGUCGGAGACAAAGCCCAGCUGAAGAGAGGCAGUGCACUUGCUGAUGGAUACUAAAUGAAAAGCAGGCAGAAAUCAGCAAUGCAUCCAGCUUCUGUUGAGGGAGAUUCAGUGGAAUGAUUUUUAUAUUUUCAUGAAGAAAUUACAGUUGAAUAUUAAAACCUGGUAUUUCAGUUUAUCUGGUCUGACUCCCAUCUAACUAACCAACAUAGCCAUGGAUUUUGUAAAACUCACUUAGCAAAUCAUCUUAAUUGGUACCAAAAAAGUGAUGGCUAUGGAAAUAUUGGCAUUUCUAUGUGCAUAACUGAUGUUUUUAUGAGGAUAAGAGGGAGAGAAGAAUCACAUUUCAAAGAAGCUUCUACUGAAAUAAACUAACCAGAAGAACUAAUUGUGGCAUACUUAACAGCUUUGAGCUUUAUGUGUACACUACCUAUGUUUCCUGUUCAGCAAGUGAAUGUCCCCAGGCCGGUAGGGGCAAUGUGAAGAUGAAUCUUAUAUCUCCAAUUUCUCGAAGAACAUUUAUUCAUCUUCCUGGAAUUCACUCAUUGCCAGUUCUUUUAGAAAUACUGACACAGUUAAUAGUGUCUAAUGUCGUGGAUGACUGCCUUCCACCGAUGUCGUGACUUCCCACCCAAGAACCAAUGACUUCUUUCUCUGUGAUUCAGCUCUCCACUGACCCUCAUGGGCAAGAGUGGGGUUUCAGCAAUUAUUCUUUCAACCUCUAUUGAUUAAUCACACGAUAUAAGCCAGACACAGUUCUGGGCAGCAGGAUACAAUAGUGAACAAGACAACCCCAAAUCCCUGCUCUUGUGGAACUGACAUUUUCUCAUGGGGUGUGGGGGUUGGGGAAGAAUGAGAGAUGUUAAAUGCAAAACCAAAAUAAAAGAAAUUUUAAGAUCAUGUGAUAGGGAGUGGCUGGCUGGUCAGGGAUAGCCUCUCCAGGACUGGGACAUUCAUGGGAGUUGACAUGUGAAUUAUGAGAAGAAGCCGACAAUGCCAAGAUCACAUGGCAACACGUUUCAUGCAAAAGAAACAGCCAGCAUGAAGCCUGUGAGCUGGGAACAAGACCGGCUCAGGUCAAGGGACAGACAAAAAGGCCAACAAGGCUGAAAAAGAAUAAGGAAGAGGAGAGGGGUGUGAGGUUCAGCAGGAAAGAUCUGAAGGACUGGGUCAGACAGGGUUCUUCAGGACAUGGAAAAGAAUUUGAAUUUUUUAAAUAAAUGCAAUGAGAAGACACUGGAGAAUUUUAAUCAUGAGGGUAACAUAGUCUGUUUUGCAUUUGAAAACUAACAUUGUGACUGUUAGGCAGCAAAUGAAGUUGCCCUCCCCCAGUCCAUCCCUGGCCGUGGUUGAUCGAAACAUAAGUGACCAUCUUACCCGGUGUGUUUUUUGUCACUAUGGAAUUUGCAUUUAGGAACAAAGGGUCUGUGUUUAUUCAAGUGGUCUCUUCAUGGGGCCGAUACUGUAACAUACAUAGCUGGGGGUCUGAGGCAGCCACGUUGUGCCAAGGGCACUGAGGAGAAAAUGGCGGCCUGCUGGAUUCUUCUUUCUUCUGAGGCUCAGGUGACUGCUUGUCCUCAUAUCACUCCACCAGACUGUCAGGAGCUAAGCGGAGCUCGAGAGAGCUGAGCUGCCAGGUGUCAGGGUAGCUGAUUAAGACAACAAGCCAAGAUGAACAGUGAAGGCUUUAAUCAUUUACUGCAAUAGUAUGCACAAGAGACUAAACCAGAGAAAGUGCCGACUCCCCAUCAUUCCAUUUUCCCCAGCGCACCAGCCCUCAUUGAGGGUCUGGAUCAGCACUGAAGCCAAGGGAUUGUCUCACAGCUGAGGGACCCCUGAACAAGAGACUCCCGCCAUCAAAUGGAUCUGGAGCUGGCGGGGGGUGGGGAGAAGGAAGGGCUAUGAGUGUGAAAGUACUGAGCACUGAGUCAGAGUGGAGAAAAACAUCUCCAAGCCUCCCCGCUUCUUCUCCUUGAUAAGGUGACCCCUGCAGAGGUGUCUAAGAUAAGCCUCUGCAGAAAGCCUGUGAUAAAGAGGCCUCCAAAGAGAGGCACCUGGGCCAGGAAUGUGGAUGUGCAUAAGAGCAAGGCUGGCUGGGGGGACUCAGUGCUUGACUGCAACUCCCCUCAGAGACUCAAUGUGUCGGCUGUGCCCCAAGUCUGCAGUGGGGAGGGCAGUUUCUCCCCACGAGGUCUGACAGGUAAAGCCUGGUAUUAAUAAUUGCUUAUGGCCAGAUGUGAAAGUUCACACAUAGGUUUAGGGCUACGAACUGGUACUCCAAACAGACUAUGCUAGGUGCUUACUAUAAACCCAUCUACAGUAGAGCUUGAGUAACUUCUGCUGCUUGAAACUGGCACUCUAACUAAUGAAAUUUAAAAUGAACCCCAAAAUGAGUUAGAGUCAAAUAAUGACAGGAUGUGGGAAAUGAUCACAACAUAGGUAUAGACUCCAGAAAAAUGGGCACCACUACCCAUAAGAAGACGCCCAGAGAUAUCUUGCAGACUAUUUAAAUUGAGAGCAAGAGUUUGAGCCUGUACAGUAUUUCUGGCAAUCCAAAGAGGCAAACCCAGGGGCAGGAGCUAGAGAACUUGAAAUAUAACCAGAGUGGCCUAUCUCUGAGCUUACCUGUUGGCUUACUCUUUGCCAGAAAUUUCUGUUGUGCAACAAGAAUGAUAACAGUUGGGAAGAGAAGAAAGGUGCAAGAGAAGCCCUUGACUAUCUCACCAAACCCAUCCCCUCCCUCUGCUUCCUCCUUCACUCUGCUUUGGCCCCACUGGUCUGCUCCCUGUUGCCCGACAAGUUCACACCCCAGGUCCCUUGUAUAUGCUGUUCCCUUUGCCUGAAUUGCUCUUCCCUUCAGCCCUUGCUAGACUCCUUCAUUCAAGCCUCGGCUGAAACGUCACCAUUUUCAAGAGUGACCUGGCCAUUCCAUCCCAAAUGGCAGUUCUAUCACUUUUUAUCCCCUAACAGUGGUUUCUAUUUUUCUUUAUAAUACUUAUCACAACCUGAUAUUAUGAUUGAUUGCUUUGUUAGUUCUUGUGUCUUCCUGUGCCCACACUAGAAUGUAAGCUCCACGAAGUUGAGAGCUGUUUAGUUCAUAAAUCACUGCAUCCUCAGAGCCUAGAAUAGCACCCAGGA